RNAcentral lists this ribosomal RNA (936 nucleotides) under Bufotes viridis (European green toad). RNAcentral describes it as "partial 16S ribosomal RNA". It matches the Rfam family "Bacterial large subunit ribosomal RNA", at positions 1099 to 2621 of the family's 2925-position model. Lineage: Eukaryota; Metazoa; Chordata; Amphibia; Anura; Bufonidae. The record is from RNAcentral.
AGUGGGCCUAAAAGCAGCCAUCUUUAAAAUUGCGUCAAAGCUUAAUUGUUCUCACGCUUAAUCACCAGAUUUUAAUCUUAAUCCCCAAUCAAUACUGAGUAAUUCUAUAAAACUAUAGAAAAUUUUAUGUUAAAACUAGUAACAAGAAGAGGACUCUUCUCUUAAAUGUAAGUGUACAUCAGAAAGGACAAACCACUGAUACUUAACAUCCAUGAGUCUAAAGUAGUAACCAACCAAGAAAACUCUACUUCCACCUAUGUUAACCUAACACAAGAACAUUUAAAGAAAGAUUAAAAGAAAAAGAAGGAACUCGGCAAAUAUUAACCUCGCCUGUUUACCAAAAACAUCGCCUCUUGAAUUUUAUAAGAGGUCCAGCCUGCCCAGUGACUCUGUUCAACGGCCGCGGUAUCCUAACCGUGCGAAGGUAGCGUAAUCACUUGUUCUUUAAAUGUGGACUAGUAUGAAUGGCACCACGAAGGUUAUACUGUCUCCUUUUUCUAAUCAGUGAAACUAAUCUCCCCGUGAAGAAGCGGGGAUAAAGCUAUAAGACGAGAAGACCCUAUGGGGCUUUAAACAACAUAGCACUUGCCACACACCAUUAAAAUUCCAGAAUCUUCAAUUCUCUGAGCAAUAUGACUAUAAGUUUUUGGUUGGGGUGACCGCGGAGCAUAACACAACCUCCAUGUUGAAAGAAUCAUUUUCUAAGCUAAGAACUACAACUCUAGGCAUCAACAUAUUGACAUCCAUUGACCCAAUACACUUGAACAACGAACCAAGUUACCCUAGGGAUAACAGCGCAAUCCACUUCAAGAGCUCCUAUCGACAGGUGGGUUUACGACCUCGAUGUUGGAUCAGGGUUUCCCAGUGGUGCAGCCGCUACUAAAGGUUCGUUUGUUCAACGAUUAAAACCCUACGUGAUCUGAGUUCAGACCGGAG